UACGGAGGGAGCUAGCGUUGUUCGGAAUUACUGGGCGUAAAGCGCGCGUAGGCGGCUAUUCAAGUCAGAGGUGAAAGCCUGGAGCUCAACUCCAGAACUGUCUUUGAAACUAGAUAGCUAGAAUCUUGGAGAGGCGAGUGGAAUUCCGAGUGUAGAGGUGAAAUUCGUAGAUAUUCGGAAGAACACCAGUGGCGAAGGCGACUCGCUGGACAAGCAUUGACGCUGAGGUGCGAAAGCGUGGGGAGCAAACAGGAUUAGAUACCCUUGUAGU
This 271-nucleotide ribosomal RNA is filed under the name uncultured bacterium. Its description in RNAcentral is "partial 16S ribosomal RNA". It matches the Rfam family "Bacterial small subunit ribosomal RNA", at positions 524 to 794 of the family's 1533-position model. The record is from RNAcentral.